This 433-nucleotide ribosomal RNA is filed under the name uncultured bacterium. Its description in RNAcentral is "partial 16S ribosomal RNA". It matches the Rfam family "Bacterial small subunit ribosomal RNA", at positions 29 to 507 of the family's 1533-position model. The record is from RNAcentral.
AACGAACGCUGGCGGCAUGCCUAACACAUGCAAGUCGAACGAGACCUUCGGGUCUAGUGGCGCACGGGUGCGUAACGCGUGGGAACCUGCCCUUAGGUUCGGAAUAACUCCCCGAAAGGGAUGCUAAUACCGGAUAAUGUCUUCGGACCAAAGAUUUAUCGCCUUUGGAUGGGCCCGCGUUGGAUUAGCUAGUUGGUAGGGUAAAAGCCUACCAAGGCGACGAUCCAUAGCUGGUCUGAGAGGAUGAUCAGCCACACUGGGACUGAGACACGGCCCAGACUCCUACGGGAAGCAGCAGUGGGGAAUAUUGGACAAGGGGCGAAAGCCUGAUCCAGCAAUGCCGCGUGAGUGAUGAAGGCCUUAGGGUUGUAAAGCUCUUUUACCCGGGAUGAUAAUGACAGUACCGGGAGAAUAAGCUCCGGCUAACUCCGUG